GUCCCCUUAGUCUAGUGGCCUAGGACACCGCACUUUCACGGCGGUAACAGGGAUUCGAGUCCCCUAGGGGACGCCA
Molecule: transfer RNA, 76 nt
Filed under: Pseudomonas sp. MWU12-2534b
Lineage: Bacteria; Pseudomonadati; Pseudomonadota; Gammaproteobacteria; Pseudomonadales; Pseudomonadaceae
Description: tRNA-Glu
Rfam family: tRNA
About the family: Transfer RNA (tRNA) molecules are approximately 80 nucleotides in length. Their secondary structure includes four short double-helical elements and three loops (D, anti-codon, and T loops). Further hydrogen bonds mediate the characteristic L-shaped molecular structure. tRNAs have two regions of fundamental functional importance: the anti-codon, which is responsible for specific mRNA codon recognition, and the 3' end, to which the tRNAs corresponding amino acid is attached (by aminoacyl-tRNA synthetases). tRNAs cope with the degeneracy of the genetic code in two manners: having more than one tRNA (with a specific anti-codon) for a particular amino acid; and 'wobble' base-pairing, i.e. permitting non-standard base-pairing at the 3rd anti-codon position.
Source: RNAcentral